Molecule: ribosomal RNA, 370 nt
Filed under: uncultured eukaryote
Lineage: Eukaryota
Description: partial 18S ribosomal RNA
Rfam family: Eukaryotic small subunit ribosomal RNA
Source: RNAcentral
CAAUAGCGUAUAUUAAAGUUGUUGCAGUUAAAAAGCUCGUAGUUGGAUUUCUGGUCGGAAGCUCCUGUCCUCUGAUGAGCGUACAAGUGCGUCCUACCAUCCUUCUGUUAACCUUUAAGGCUUUCGCGGCUUUCUAGGGGCUCAGAUAUUUUACCUUGAGAAAAUUAGAGUGUUUCAGGCAGGCUAGCGCCGGAAUACAUUAGCAUGGAAUAAUGGAAUAGGACUUUUGCCUCUUCUGUUGGUCAUGAGGCUCGAGUAAUAAUUAAUAGGGAUAGUUGGGGGCAUUAGUACUUAACUGUCAGAGGUGAAAUUCUCGGAUUUGUUAAAGACUAACUUAUGCGAAAGCAUUUGCCAAGGAUGUUUUCAUUAA